Molecule: ribosomal RNA, 486 nt
Filed under: uncultured bacterium
Lineage: Bacteria
Description: partial 16S ribosomal RNA
Rfam family: Bacterial small subunit ribosomal RNA
Source: RNAcentral
AUUGAACGCUGGCGGCAUGCCUUACACAUGCAAGUCGAACGGCAGCACGGGUGCUUGCACCUGGUGGCGAGUGGCGAACGGGUGAGUAAUACAUCGGAACAUGUCCUGUAGUGGGGGAUAGCCCGGCGAAAGCCGGAUUAAUACCGCAUACGAUCCACGGAUGAAGGCGGGGGACCUUCUGGCCUCGCGCUAUAGGGUUGGCCGAUGGCUGAUUAGCUAGUUGGUGGGGUAAAGGCCUACCAAGGCGACGAUCAGUAGCUGGUCUGAGAGGACGACCAGCCACACUGGGACUGAGACACGGCCCAGACUCCUACGGGAGGCAGCAGUGGGGAAUUUUGGACAAUGGGCGAAAGCCUGAUCCAGCAAUGCCGCGUGUGUGAAGAAGGCCUUCGGGUUGUAAAGCACUUUUGUCCGGAAAGAAAUCCUUGACUCUAAUACAGUCGGGGGAUGACGGUACCGGAAGAAUAAGCACCGGCUAACUACGUG